ACGAACUCUGGUAUUGAUUGGUGCUUGCAUCAUGAUUUACAUUUGAGUGAGUGGCGAACUGGUGAGUAACACGUGGGAAACCUGCCCAGAAGCGGGGGAUAACACCUGGAAACAGAUGCUAAUACCGCAUAACAACUUGGACCGCAUGGUCCGAGUUUGAAAGAUGGCUUCGGCUAUCACUUUUGGAUGGUCCCGCGGCGUAUUAGCUAGAUGGUGGGGUAACGGCUCACCAUGGCAAUGAUACGUAGCCGACCUGAGAGGGUAAUCGGCCACAUUGGGACUGAGACACGGCCCAAACUCCUACGGGAGGCAGCAGUAGGGAAUCUUCCACAAUGGACGAAAGUCUGAUGGAGCAACGCCGCGUGAGUGAAGAAGGGUUUCGGCUCGUAAAACUCUGUUGUUAAAGAAGAACAUAUCUGAGAGUAACUGUUCAGGUAUUGACGGUAUUUAACCAGAAAGCCACGGCUAACUACGUGCCAGCAGCCGCGGUAAUACGUAGGUGGCAAGCGUUGUCCGGAUUUAUUGGGCGUAAAGCGAGCGCAGGCGGUUUUUUAAGUCUGAUGUGAAAGCCUUCGGCUCAACCCGAAGAAGUGCAUCGGAAACUGGGAAACUUGAGUGCAGAAGAGGACAGUGGAACUCCAUGUGUAGCGGUGAAAUGCGUAGAUAUAUGGAAGAACACCAGUGGCGAAAGCGGCUGUCUGGUCUGUAACUGACGCUGAGGCUCGAAAGUAUGGGUAGCAACAGAUAGAUACCCUGGUAGUCAUACCGUAACGAUGAUGCUAGUGUUGGAGGGUUCCGCCCUUCAGUGCUGCAGCUAACGCAUUAAGCA
Molecule: ribosomal RNA, 829 nt
Filed under: Lactiplantibacillus plantarum
Lineage: Bacteria; Bacillati; Bacillota; Bacilli; Lactobacillales; Lactobacillaceae
Description: bacterial SSU rRNA
Rfam family: Bacterial small subunit ribosomal RNA
Source: RNAcentral